This 223-nucleotide ribosomal RNA is filed under the name uncultured bacterium. RNAcentral's name for it is "partial 16S ribosomal RNA". It matches the Rfam family "Bacterial small subunit ribosomal RNA", at positions 524 to 745 of the family's 1533-position model. The record is from RNAcentral.
UACGAGUGGUGCAAGCGUUAUUCGGAAUCACUGGGCGUAAAGGGUGUGUAGGCGGCAAAUCAAGUCUGUUGUAAAAUAUCCCAGCUUAACUGGGAGUGUGCGAUGGAAACUGGUUUGAUAGAGGGUGAAAGAGAGAAGUGGAAUUCUCGGAGUAGCGGUAAAAUGCGUAGAUAUCGAGAGGAACACCGAUGGCGAAGGCAGCUUUCUUGGUUCACACCUGACG